Molecule: ribosomal RNA, 327 nt
Filed under: uncultured Bacteroidota bacterium
Lineage: Bacteria; Pseudomonadati; Bacteroidota
Description: bacterial SSU rRNA
Rfam family: Bacterial small subunit ribosomal RNA
Source: RNAcentral
GAUGAACGCUAGCGGGAGGCUUAACACAUGCAAGUCGAGGGGUAACAUGGGGUAGCAAUACUCUGAUGACGACCGGCGUACGGGUGAGUAACGCGUAUGCAACCUACCCUGUACAGGGGGAUAACCCGGAGAAAUUCGGACUAAUACCCCAUAAAGAUACUCAGAGGCAUCUUUGAAUAUUUAAAGCUUCGGUGGUACGGGAUGGGCAUGCGUAACAUUAGCUGGUUGGUAGGGUAACGGCCUACCAAGGCGACGAUGUUUAGGGGUCCUGAGAGGGUGAUCCCCCACACUGGUACUGAGACACGGACCAGACUCCUACGGGAGCAG